Molecule: ribosomal RNA, 352 nt
Filed under: Theileria sp.
Lineage: Eukaryota; Apicomplexa; Aconoidasida; Piroplasmida; Theileriidae
Description: SSU rRNA
Rfam family: Eukaryotic small subunit ribosomal RNA
Source: RNAcentral
AAGACGAUCAGAUACCGUCGUAGUCCUAACCAUAAACGAUGCCGACUAGAGAUUGGAGGUCGUCAGUUUGAACGACUCCUUCAGCCUAACCAUAAACGAUGCCGACUCUUUGGGUUCUGGGGGGAGUAUGGUCGCAAGGCUGAAACUUAAAGGAAUUGACGGAAGGGCACCACCAGGCGUGGAGCCUGCGGCUUAAUUUGACUCAACACGGGGAAACUCACCAGGUCCAGACAGAGGAAGGAUUGACAGAUUGAUGGCUCUUUCUUGAUUCUUKGGGUGGUGGUGCAUGGCCGUUCUUAGUUGGUKGAGUGAUUUGUCUGGUUAAUUYCGUUAAGAAGGAUUGACAGAUUGA